Molecule: ribosomal RNA, 497 nt
Filed under: uncultured bacterium
Lineage: Bacteria
Description: partial 16S ribosomal RNA
Rfam family: Bacterial small subunit ribosomal RNA
Source: RNAcentral
GACGAACGCUGGCGGUGUGCCUAAUACAUGCAAGUCGAGCGCCGACGGAUGGUACUUUUACCCACUGGAUGAGCAGCUAACGGGUGAGUAACGCGUGGGGCAUCUGCCUUUUAUCGGGGGACAACAUUUGGAGACGAAUGCUGAUACUACAUAAAAACUUUAAACACAAGAUUUAAGGUUGAAACAUGCAAUUGCAUCACUCAUAGAUGAUCCCGCGUUUUAUUAGCUAGUUGGUGAGGUAAAGGCUCACCAAGGCGAAGAUACAUAGCCGACCCGAGAGGGUGGACCGCCCACAUGGGACUGGGAAACGGCCCAAGCUCCUACGGGAAGGAGCAGUAGGGGAACUUCGGACAUGGACGGAAGGCUGACCGCGGCACGCCGCGUGAGUGAAGGAAGUUUUCGGAUCGUAAAACUCUGUUGGUAGAGAAGAACGUUCGUGAGAGUGGAAAGCUCAUCAAGUGACGGUAACCAACCAGAAAGGGACGGCUAACUACGUG